ACGAACGCUGGCGGCGUGCCUAACACAUGCAAGUCGAACGAGAAAGGGACCUUCGGGUACUGAGUAAAGUGGCGCACGGGUGAGUAGCGCGUGGAUAAUCUGCCCUAAAGUCGGGAAUAACUCAUCGAAAGGUGGGCUAAUACCGGAUAAUGCUGCUUUCGCCGUGGCGAUGCAGCCAAAGGGGGCCUCUAUUUAUAAGCUCUUGCUUAAGGAUGAGUCCGCGUACCAUUAGCUAGUUGGUGGGGUAAUGGCCUACCAAGGCGACGAUGGUUAGCUGGUCUGAGAGGAUGAUCAGCCACACUGGAACUGAGAUACGGUCCAGACUCCUACGGGAGGCAGCAGUGAGGAAUCUUGCGCAAUGGGGGAAACCCUGACGCAGCAACGCCGCGUGAGUGAGGAAGGUUUUCGGAUCGUAAAGCUCUGUCGGGUGGACGAAGGGAGACUGACGGUACCCCCAGAGGAAGCCCCGGCCAACUACGU
Molecule: ribosomal RNA, 480 nt
Filed under: uncultured bacterium
Lineage: Bacteria
Description: bacterial SSU rRNA
Rfam family: Bacterial small subunit ribosomal RNA
Source: RNAcentral